GAUGAACGCUAGCGGGAGGCUUAAUACAUGCAAGUCGAGCGGCAAGGUCUUCGGACCCUAGAGCGGCGCACGGGUGAGUAACGCGUACGCAAUCUGCCCUUCAGUGAGGAAUAGCCCUGGGAAACUGGGAUUAAUACCUCAUAAUAUUAAUUGUCUGCAUGGAUGAUUAAUUAAAGUUCUGGCGCUGAAGGAUGAGCGUGCGUCUGAUUAGCUAGUUGGUAGGGUAACGGCCUACCAAGGCGACGAUCAGUAGGGGGCGUGAGAGCGUGACCCCCCACACGGGUAC
Molecule: ribosomal RNA, 286 nt
Filed under: uncultured bacterium
Lineage: Bacteria
Description: partial 16S ribosomal RNA
Rfam family: Bacterial small subunit ribosomal RNA
Source: RNAcentral